RNAcentral lists this ribosomal RNA (497 nucleotides) under uncultured bacterium. RNAcentral describes it as "partial 16S ribosomal RNA". It matches the Rfam family "Bacterial small subunit ribosomal RNA", at positions 28 to 507 of the family's 1533-position model. The record is from RNAcentral.
GAUGAACGCUGGCGGCGUGCCUAAUACAUGCAAGUCGAGCGAACAGACGAGGAGCUUGCUCCUCUGACGUUAGCGGCGGACGGGUGAGUAACACGUGGAUAACCUACCUAUAAGACUGGGAUAACUUCGGGAAACCGGAGAUAAUCCCGGAUAAUAUAUUGAACCGCAUGGUUCAAUAGUGAAAGACGGUUUUGCUGUCACUUAUAGAUGGAUCCGCGCCGCAUUAGCUAGUUGGUAAGGUAACGGCUUACCAAGGCAACGAUGCGUAGCCGACCUGAGAGGGGGAUCGGCCACACUGGAACGGAGACACGGUCCAGACGCCUACGGGAGGCAGCAGUAGGGAAUCGUCCGCAAUGGGCGAAAGCCUGACGGAGCAACGCCGCGUGAGUGAUGAAGGUCUUCGGAUCGUAAAACUCUGUUAUUAGGGAAGAACAAAUGUGUAAGUAACUAUGCACGUCUUGACGGUACCUAAUCAGAAAGCCACGGCUAACUACGUG